GCGCGGGUAGCUCAGGGGUAGAGCACCGGUUUUACACACCGGCGGUCGGGGGUUCGAAACCCUCCCCGCGCACCA
This 75-nucleotide transfer RNA is filed under the name Mycobacteriales bacterium. RNAcentral describes it as "tRNA-Val". It matches the Rfam family "tRNA". From Rfam's summary of the family: Transfer RNA (tRNA) molecules are approximately 80 nucleotides in length. Lineage: Bacteria; Bacillati; Actinomycetota; Actinomycetes; Mycobacteriales. RNAcentral also lists the same sequence under 1 other name. The record is from RNAcentral.